CCAGAAUGUGGAAUGCAGUUGUUGCGCCGCCUUAAUUGGCUUAUCUGCCUCUGUCUCUGCCGAGCAAUCAGGAAGGAACCUCAUCAAGUGCUGUUCAGGGUCAUUGUUGGACUUCAAGCAAUGGUGCUGGAGGAAGCGCACCCCACGGGCCUGGCUCACACCGUCCCUCCGAGGACGCUGCCUUAGGCCCUGCACCACCACCCGCUCAGCCUUCGUGUGUCUCCCCCUGGAAUAAGAGAGCUCGCUGCUCUUCAACUCUGCCUAGAUUCUAUUCUUUAGAGCUUAAGCAAAAAAGAAAAGAACACUUCC
Molecule: long non-coding RNA, 309 nt
Filed under: Fukomys damarensis (Damara mole-rat)
Lineage: Eukaryota; Metazoa; Chordata; Mammalia; Rodentia; Bathyergidae
Description: lncRNA (ENSFDAG00000033156.1)
Source: RNAcentral